RNAcentral lists this ribosomal RNA (497 nucleotides) under uncultured bacterium. Its description in RNAcentral is "partial 16S ribosomal RNA". It matches the Rfam family "Bacterial small subunit ribosomal RNA", at positions 28 to 507 of the family's 1533-position model. The record is from RNAcentral.
GAUGAACGCUGGCGGCGUGCCUAAUACAUGCAAGUCGAGCGAACAGACGAGGAGCUUGCUCCUCUGACGUUAGCGGCGGACGGGUGAGUAACACGUGGAUAACCUACCUAUAAGACUGGGAUAACUUCGGGAAACCGGAGCUAAUACCGGAUAAUAUAUUGAACCGCAUGGUUCAAUAGUGAAAGACGGUUUUGCUGUCACUUAUCGAUGGAUCCGCGCCGCAUUAGCUAGUUGGUAAGGUAACGGCUUACCAAGGCAACGAUGCGUAGCCGACCUGAGAGGGUGGUCGGCCACACUGGAACUGAGACACGGUCCAGACUCCUACGGGAGGCAGCAGUAGGGAAUCUUCCGCAAUGGGCGAAAGCCUGACGGAGCAACGCCGCGUGAGUGAUGAAGGUCUUCGGAUCGUAAAACUCUGUUAUUAGGGAAGAACAAAUGUGUAAGUAACUAUGCACGUCUUGACGGUACCUAAUCAGAAAGCCACGGCUAACUACGUG